RNAcentral lists this ribosomal RNA (435 nucleotides) under uncultured bacterium. RNAcentral's name for it is "bacterial SSU rRNA". It matches the Rfam family "Bacterial small subunit ribosomal RNA", at positions 9 to 451 of the family's 1533-position model. The record is from RNAcentral.
GAGUUUGAUCCUGGCUCAGGAUUAACGCUGGCGGCGUGCCUAAUACAUGCAAGUCGAACGGAAGUACCUUCGGGUACUUUAGUGGCGAACGGGUGAGUAAUACAUAGGUAACCUACCCUUAAGACGAGGAUAGCCAUUGGAAACGAUGGAUAAAACUGGAUAGGAUAUAGAGGAAGAAUCUUUUAUAUUUAAAAGAGAGAUCUGCUUAAGGAGGGGCCUGUGGCGCAUUAGCUAGUUGGUGGGGUAAGGGCCUACCAAGGCGAUGAUGCGUAGCCGGACUGAGAGGUUGAACGGCCACAAUGGAACUGAGAACGGUCCAUACUCCUACGGGAGGCAGCAGUAGGGAAUUUUCGGCAAUGGGGGGAACCCUGACCGAGCAACGCCGCGUGAACGAAGAAGUUAUUCGUAAGGAAAAGUUCUUUAUCAUGAAGAAAG